Molecule: non-coding RNA, 69 nt
Organism: Rattus norvegicus (Norway rat)
Lineage: Eukaryota; Metazoa; Chordata; Mammalia; Rodentia; Muridae
Source: Rfam
GGGGAUUUAGCUCAGCGGUAGAGCACUUGCCUAGCAAGCACAAGGCCCUGGGUUCGGUUCCCAGCUCCG